CAAGGAGACAGCACGUGAUGAGUUGAGUCCUGAGGAUUCUCAAAGUAAAUCGUGGUGGCGAGGCUUAGGGGGCGGGGGCAAGUUCUCUUCAGGAGACCCUGCCAAGGGAGCAGAAAGAACUCUGUGCCAGAGCAUAACGAAAGUUGAGGCAAGCCUGACAUCCCAGCCCUGCUAGAGUUUCUACUGAGGAAGCCAUCAGAUUCUCGGAGUCUAGAUCUCUGCUGCCCCCUAGUGUUAAUCAUUUUUCAGCUUUAAAGAGGAAAAGAAGAAAAAAACGUAGAGACACUUCUUGGGGGUGCUCCCCAUCAAUGAUUCUCUCUAAAUUAAGAAAGAGGCAGAAGAAAGUAAUGCCUGGCC
RNAcentral lists this long non-coding RNA (357 nucleotides) under Equus caballus (horse). RNAcentral's name for it is "lncRNA (ENSECAG00000048752.1)". Lineage: Eukaryota; Metazoa; Chordata; Mammalia; Perissodactyla; Equidae. The record is from RNAcentral.